GACGAACGCUGGCGGCGUGCCUAAUACAUGCAAGUUGAGCGCUGAAGGUUGGUACUUGUUCCAAAUGGAUGAGCAGCGAACGGGUGAGUAACGCGUGGGGAAUCUGCCUUUGAGCGGGGGACAACAUUUGGAAACGAAUGCUAAUACCGCAUAAAAACUUUAAACACAAGUUUUAAGUUUGAAAGAUGCAAUUGCAUCACUCAAAGAUGAUCCCGCGUUGUAUUAGCUAGUUGGUGAGGUAAAGGCCCACCAAGGCGAUGAUACAUAGCCGACCUGAGAGGGUGAUCGGCCACAUUGGGACGGAGACACGGCCCAAACUCCUACGGGAGGCAGCAGUAGGGAAUCUUCGGCAAUGGACGAAAGUCUGACCGAGCAACGCCGCGUGAGUGAAGAAGGUUUUCGGAUCGUAAAACUCUGUUGGUAGAGAAGAACGUUGGUGAGAGUGGAAAGCUCAUCAAGUGACGGUAACUACCCAGAAAGGGACGGCUAACUACGUG
Molecule: ribosomal RNA, 497 nt
Filed under: uncultured bacterium
Lineage: Bacteria
Description: partial 16S ribosomal RNA
Rfam family: Bacterial small subunit ribosomal RNA
Source: RNAcentral